GGGGCGGUAGCUCAAUUGGUUAGAGUACCGGCUUGUCACGCCGGUGGUUGCGGGUUCGAUUCCCGUCCGCCUCG
RNAcentral lists this transfer RNA (74 nucleotides) under bacterium. Its description in RNAcentral is "tRNA-Asp". It matches the Rfam family "tRNA". Rfam says of the family: Transfer RNA (tRNA) molecules are approximately 80 nucleotides in length. Their secondary structure includes four short double-helical elements and three loops (D, anti-codon, and T loops). Further hydrogen bonds mediate the characteristic L-shaped molecular structure. tRNAs have two regions of fundamental functional importance: the anti-codon, which is responsible for specific mRNA codon recognition, and the 3' end, to which the tRNAs corresponding amino acid is attached (by aminoacyl-tRNA synthetases). tRNAs cope with the degeneracy of the genetic code in two manners: having more than one tRNA (with a specific anti-codon) for a particular amino acid; and 'wobble' base-pairing, i.e. permitting non-standard base-pairing at the 3rd anti-codon position. The record is from RNAcentral. RNAcentral also lists the same sequence under 7 other names.